AACAUAAAUCUUCAUCUUUGUUGCUCCGGCGGUUGGCGUCUCUUGCCACCGUCGGAAGCGGUUCUAAUUUUUUUCUUCUUAGUUUGGCGGAUCUCCACUUUGGACUUGCGACGUUGAAGGUUUGGGUUGCGAUCUGGCUUCAAAGAGAUGUUUUGUGUGGUUAUUUGGUCAGAUCUUUGUUCGCUCUCGCUGGAUUGGAGAAUCGGCGGUCUGAGGUGGUCAAUGGUGGUGCGUUGUGCUAGUUUCUCCAGCUCUGCCCUUUCGUUAGUGCAUCAAAGAUUUCUUAAGCGCUUGGGAGUUUGUGUGGUCUGCGGCAAGUGUGGAUGGUGUCUUCUCUCGGGUCUGCGGUUAGGUUCUUCUCUGUGGUCUCCGGAUAGAAGCUAUCAUCCUUGGAGCGUAUGAUGACUUUCUUGUGGUUAUCUUUCGUUUCGCCGUUUUCACUCGGUCGUUCAUUUAGAUUUCAGUGGGUGAAGUGCAAGUGUUAUGAAGUUGUGCUGUCCCUUGGUCUGCAACCUACGGGUUCUUCCGGAUUACUUGGUAAGGGGCUGUGGAGCUUAUGCUCAAUUGCGUGAGGUCUUGGAGUAGUCGAUUGCCAAACAUGCAUCUUCAUUGGCUGCUCGGGUUGGAAUUUGAUGUUUCUUUGGCUUCUUUGAGGUGAAGCAAUGGUAAGUGUGGUGUUUGUUCGUGGUUUCUCCUUCAACCCCAAUAAUAUAGGCCUGCUACGUUUUCUCGAUCAAUCCUGCUUCUAACGCUGGUUGCUUCGCCUUCCUUGAUUGUAUGGUUAUUCUCCUUUGGCGCUUAGUUAUCUUGUUCUCCUUAGUUUAAGUUAGUUUCUUGGGGGUAAGUGUUUGCUUCAGUCCUUGUUUCUGGGUAGUAUCUUGUUUCUACGCCGGCUUAUGAUUUCAAAAAGGUUGUAUACCUUUGCUGACUUUGUGUGUAAAACUCUGUUUGAACCUUUUAUUAAUCUAAUAGAUGA
Molecule: long non-coding RNA, 976 nt
Organism: Brassica napus (rape)
Lineage: Eukaryota; Viridiplantae; Streptophyta; Magnoliopsida; Brassicales; Brassicaceae
Exons: 3
Source: RefSeq, a predicted model, not a curated record